This 379-nucleotide unclassified non-coding RNA is filed under the name Priestia megaterium. Its description in RNAcentral is "Bacillus megaterium partial contains 16S ribosomal RNA, 16S-23S ribosomal RNA intergenic spacer, and 23S ribosomal RNA". The stretch from base 248 to 379 matches the Rfam family "Bacterial large subunit ribosomal RNA", at positions 1 to 132 of the family's 2925-position model. The record is from RNAcentral. Lineage: Bacteria; Bacillati; Bacillota; Bacilli; Caryophanales; Bacillaceae.
UUGCGGCUGGAUCCCCUCCUUUCUAAGGAUUUUUACAUGACGUACGUUUUGACACUUUGUUCAGUUUUGAGAGUUCAAUCUCUCAAUUAUAGAAAGCACACUACUUUCUUCUUAUUUGAUAAGAAGAAUUUUGGUUGCGAUUGUUCUUUGAAAACUAGAUAACAGUAAUUGCUGAGGAAAAGUGAAACUUUUCUUUAAUCAAAUCAAUAAAUAACACAACAUUAUGUUGUACCAUUUAUUCGCUAAUGGUUAAGUUAGAAAGGGCGCACGGUGAAUGCCUUGGCACUAGGAGCCGAUGAAGGACGGGACUAACACCGAUAUGCUUCGGGGAGCUGUAAGUGAGCUUUGAUCCGGAGAUUUCCGAAUGGGGAAACCCGGA